AAGAGUAAAAGGGUUUAGUGAUACAAGUGAUGCUGACAGAUGUGUGCGGCUCUCAAGCUAAACGCUAAUCUCAACAUGCUAAAAUGACAAUGCUAACAGAUUGAUGAUUAAUAACUAUAUUUUUUACUUUACUUAUUUUUAUAGCCCAAAAUACAACAUCAGAUGGAAUGAACCACAGCUUUCCAUCACCCCUUUUUAACUCACAGAAAGAACAAUACCAUCAAGCCCAUUGAGCUCCUAAAUAUAUUAAAACACAUCAACGCUCCUUAGUAUAUGUUCCCUUAUUACCAUCGACACUCACACUGAGAUUUAUUGAGUCCCACAUAAAUGUUCCUGAUUCCCGAUUCACCGUCCUGCUGCCAAAACUCUCACUAGAGCAACACAUGCAGUAAAUAGUCCCCAACAAAUGCGUCUUCUUUUCUUUUCUUCGUUUUCAGACAUUCUCUCUCCCUCUUGAUAAAAUCCAUAGUGUUCAGUGACUUAGUUGUUCAUGUGAGACAUUGAGAAGAUGAAAAAAAUGGCUAAGCAUGGCAGUUUAAACCGUUCUCAGCUCUUCACUGCGGGGUGAAUGUUGGUCACAGAAAUGGUCAUCGCAGAGCUCCAAAUGUGACACGGGAAGAAAAAGGCAGCUUAAAACUUACUGAUGCAUUCAAGGAUAAACUCUACACUAAAUCAUGUCCGUGUCGAAAUCAUUGGAACGGGUUAAGAGGUGUGAUCAAGUGGGAACAGUUGAACUUGGGACCACACAGGGAGUAAAUGAGCAAAUGUGAUUAAUAAAGCUGGCGUUCAUUAAACCUCAACCUGCUGAUACUGCAGUUCUCCUUCUAAUAAUGUGUUCAUCCUUCUCCCGCCUCUGUUCAGCUUGUGCCAUGCCGCACUGGGUUGUGGUGGUUUCCCUUCCAUCAAUAGAGUUGCUCACAUAGUAACACUCCUUGGUUGGGCUUGUGUGAGCAUUGUGCUGCUGUUUACUGACUGAAGAUAUUAGCGGAAUAGCAUAUUCAUAAAUAGGAAUGUAGGAAUUGUGAAAAAUGACUAGAUUACCAAUUAAUAAUCUUAUCUAAAUAUGGGUUAAACUACUGUAAAUAUAUGAAAUACCUGUAAUUACUUGUGCACAAGUUGUGGUGCUCAGUGGCUGGAGCUGGUUAUCAGUAAACCACAAGGGUGUUUACCUGCUUCGUAUUGUCUGUACACAUUGAGUGAGACACUCGCUGUUCAACCCUGAAAUGUCACUGCUUCAACUGUUGCGACUAAAGGGACAGAGAUUUACCAAUGACCUGAUGGAGACUAAGUAUCGCAGCUCUAAAGAUGUAAAUUAGCUAUUUUUGGCACCAAUUUAUAGAAUUAUAGUGAGAUGAUUGGUGUUUUAAAGCUUGUUACAUUUUCCCCAAGUGGACAAUAACUAUAUUCGUAGUUUCUAAACUGGGCAGAAAUAAAACGUUAUGUGUUUUCACAAAAGAUAUAGAAAUAGAUUGCACAAGGAAAAAUGUGGAGAUAUUGAACAAAGAAGCAGGGAGGCUUACAAUAAUAUCCAAAAGAUUAGCUCCAUGGCUAUGAGACAGACAAUUAAACUUUCCAGGGCUUACUUUACACAGGAAGGGGCAAAAAACAGCACCUGCUUUGCCAAGCGUGGGAAGGGAGGAUGGCAGUGAGGAUGGCAGUAAAGAUUCCAGUUAGAUUGUUGGUGACGAUGCCGGUGACAAGACAAUGCCAUUGAGGAUCUCAGGGAGGAUGUCAAUGAAGAUGCCAGGGAGGAGCUCAGGGAGGAUGUCAGUAAAGAUGCCAGUGAAGAUGCCAGUCAGGAGCUCAGGGAGGAUGUCAGUGAAGAUGCCAGGGAGGAUGCCAGUGAAGAUGCCAGUGAGGAGCUCAGGGAGGAUGCCAGUGAAGAUGCCAGGGAGGAUGCCAGUGAAGAUGCCAGUGAGGAGCUCAGGGAGGAUGCCAGUGAAGAUGCCAGUGGGGAGCUCAGGGAGGAUGUCAAUGAAGAUGCCAGUGAGGAGCUCAGUGAGGAUGUCAGUGAAGAUGCCAGGGAGGAUGCCAUUGCAGUAUGCAGAUGGAUUAUAGAAGUAUCCAGGGGAGAGAAUUGGGCAGGGGGGGGGGGGGGGGGUAAAAAGAUGAGGGGAGAACAUAAAAAGAGUGUAGAUACACUGAGACAAGACCAGAUAUGUAAAGAGACCACAAUAUAAUGCA
Gasterosteus aculeatus aculeatus (three-spined stickleback) is the source of this 2184-nucleotide long non-coding RNA. Lineage: Eukaryota; Metazoa; Chordata; Actinopteri; Perciformes; Gasterosteidae. The record is from Ensembl.